RNAcentral lists this ribosomal RNA (388 nucleotides) under Enterobacter cloacae. RNAcentral describes it as "bacterial SSU rRNA". It matches the Rfam family "Bacterial small subunit ribosomal RNA", at positions 37 to 421 of the family's 1533-position model. Lineage: Bacteria; Pseudomonadati; Pseudomonadota; Gammaproteobacteria; Enterobacterales; Enterobacteriaceae. The record is from RNAcentral.
CGGCAUGGCGGCAGCUACACAUGCAGUCGAACGGUAGCACACGAGAGCUUGCUCUCGGGUGACGAGUGGCGGACGGGUGAGUAAUGUCUGGGAAACUGCCUGAUGGAGGGGGAUAACUACUGGAAACGGUAGCUAAUACCGCAUAACGUCGCAAGACCAAAGAGGGGGACCUUCGGGCCUCUUGCCAUCAGAUGUGCCCAGAUGGGAUUAGCUAGUAGGUGGGGUAACGGCUCACCUAGGCGACGAUCCCUAGCUGGUCUGAGAGGAUGACCAGCCACACUGGAACUGAGACACGGUCCAGACUCCUACGGGAGGCAGCAGUGGGGAAUAUUGCACAAUGGGCGCAAGCCUGAUGCAGCCAUGCCGCGUGUAUGAAGAAGGCCUUCGG